Gorilla gorilla gorilla (western lowland gorilla) is the source of this 1763-nucleotide RNA transcript. It is a transcript of the gene named C-type lectin domain family 12 member B, with no coding region annotated. The transcript is spliced from 6 exons. The record is from RefSeq and is a predicted model, not a curated record. Lineage: Eukaryota; Metazoa; Chordata; Mammalia; Primates; Hominidae.
CAGUGGAGUGUGUCUGGGUCAGCUGAGUGACUACAUCAAAGCUCCCAGCCUUGAAAAACACAUGCUGUUCCCAGGCCUCAAGAUAUUGAAACAUUAAUUAGAUAAUUUAAAGUAGCGUUUUCUUCUACAAUGUCUGAAGAAGUGACCUACGCGACACUCACAUUUCAGGAUUCUGCUGGAGCAAGGAAUAACCGAGAUGGAAAUAACCUAAGAAAAAGAGGGCAUCCAGCUCCAUCUCCCAUUUGGCGUCACGCUGCCCUGGGUCUGCUAACUCUUUGCCUGAUGUUGCUGAUUGGGCUGGUGACGUUGGGGAUGAUGUUUUUGCAGAUAUCUAAUGACAUUAACUCAGAUUCAGAGAAAUUGAGUCAACUUCAGAAAACCAUCCAACAGCAGCAGGAUAACUUAUCCCAGCAACUGGGCAACUCCAACAACUUGUCCAUGGAGGAGGAAUUUCUCAAGUCACAGAUCUCCAGUCUACUGAAGAGGCAGGAACAAAUGGCCAUCAAACUGUGCCAAGAGCUAAUCAUUCAUACUUCAGACCACAGAUGUAAUCCAUGUCCUAAGAUGUGGCAAUGGUACCAAAAUAGUUGCUACUAUCUUACAACAAAUGAGGAGAAGACCUGGGCUAACAGUAGAAAGGACUGCAUAGACAAGAACUCCACCCUAGUGAAGACAGACAGUUUGGAAGAAAAGGAUUUUCUUAUGUCACAGCCAUUACUCAUGUUUUCGUUCUUUUGGCUGGGAUUAUCAUGGGACUCCUCUGGCAGAAGUUGGUUCUGGGAAGAUGACUCUGUUCCCUCUCCAUCCUUGUACGUCUCUAACUAUUGAGGGUAAACACAAGCUUUCCAUGGAAUCCUGGGAAAAUUAAUAAUGAUUGUGAGAAUUAUAAAUACAGACAUAAAAAGAGGAGUACAACAUACUGAGAAAAGAGCUCCAGUAACAAAUAUUGAAAGGAGGUCCCAAAGAACUUCAAGUACUUCUAAUAUAAGCUGAACUGAGUAGAUUUCAUUAAUGGAAUUCCAUAUUUAUGAAGGAAAUACAAAUUCUCAGUCCAGGAUUUAAGUAUUUCUCUUAAAGAAUUCUACCUGGGAUCAUGAUUAACUUAAAGAACCCAGAUGUGCCAGCUCUGGACAGAUUUUGUGCCAGCUUUAGGCAGCUUCAGAUUUUGAAGCUUUGUGGAGGCAGAAGUCUCUCCAUAUUCAGAUACAUGACAUUGGCUGUAAGAGCAACUGAGGGCACUAAAUAGUGAUCACGUUUCAAAUAUAGAAUUUAUAAUUAAUUUUAAAUUAAUUUUCAGAUUUAGUACUAAAGAACUUGACCAGAUCAAUGGAUCCAAAGGAUGUGCUUAUUUUCAAAAAGGAAAUAUUUAUAUUUCUCACUGUAGCGCUGAAAUUUUUUGGAUUUGCGAGAAGACAGCUGCCCCAGUGAAGAUUGAGGAUUUGGAUUAGUAUGCUUCUUCCAAAUUCUCCAAGAAGUAAGAGACUUGUGAGUAAGCCCAUAUGAGGAAAGAGGAAACUAUGGUACCAGAGCCAAACCAGCUUUUAAAAUGACUGUGUAUUUACAUUAUCAGACAAAUGAACUUGUUUAACAGAACAUUCUCCAGUUCCUUGUCUGACGUCUUCUGAUUUGAUGUUAUUAUUCAGUCUUAAAAUUAUACCUGGGGACCAAGGGGAAUAGCUAUACUAUGGCCCUAUGAUUGUCUCAGAAUCAUUUCACUGAAUUUCUUUGCUUUCUCAAAUAAAGACUCCUUUCUUUCAUUAUUA